This 253-nucleotide ribosomal RNA is filed under the name uncultured bacterium. RNAcentral describes it as "partial 16S ribosomal RNA". It matches the Rfam family "Bacterial small subunit ribosomal RNA", at positions 524 to 776 of the family's 1533-position model. The record is from RNAcentral.
UACGUAGGUGGCAAGCGAUACUCGGAAUCACUAGGCGUAAAGCGCAGGUAGGCGGCUCGAUAAGUCUCUUGUGAAAGCUCCCGGCUCAACUGGGAGAGGUCAAGGGAAACUGUUGGGCUAGAGUGUGGUAGAGGAAACUGGAAUUCCCGGUGUAGCGGUGAAAUGCGUAGAUAUCGGGAGGAAUACCUAUGGCGAAAGCGGCUCACUGGACCAUAACUGACGCUGAGGCACGAAAGCUAGGGGAGCAAACAGG